GAUGUGACCUGCCUGGCCCGCCGUGGUUACACGUGUGAGUGCCGGGUGUUGUCCGUCUGUCUUCCUGUUGCUAGUUGCCCUCUUCACUGAGUGGUGACCUAGUGUCGGGAUCUUUUACUUUGAACAAAUUAGAGUGUUUCAAGCAGGCUUCUGCCAUGAAUACAUUAGCAUGGAAUAAUCAUAUAGGACUUCGGUUCUAUUUUGUUGGUUUCGAGAGCUGAAGUA
RNAcentral lists this ribosomal RNA (225 nucleotides) under uncultured fungus. Its description in RNAcentral is "partial small subunit ribosomal RNA". The stretch from base 100 to 225 matches the Rfam family "Eukaryotic small subunit ribosomal RNA", at positions 737 to 864 of the family's 1831-position model. The record is from RNAcentral. Lineage: Eukaryota; Fungi.